Molecule: ribosomal RNA, 684 nt
Filed under: Triticum aestivum (bread wheat)
Lineage: Eukaryota; Viridiplantae; Streptophyta; Magnoliopsida; Poales; Poaceae
Description: partial small subunit ribosomal RNA
Source: RNAcentral
AUGCCAGCGGGUGUGAACGAUACUACAAUUGUGCUCAUUCCUAAAGGAAACAAUCCGAUUAGUAUCAAGGAUUUCCGCCCCAUAAGCCUCUGCAACGUUAUAUACAAGGUAAUCUCGAAGGUGCUAGUAAAUCGUUUACGCCCUCUACUUGAUGACCUCAUUUCUGAAACUCAAAGUGCCUUCAUCCCGGGGAGACUGAUCACUGACAAUGCGAUCAUCGCUUUUGAAUGCUUCCAUAAAAUCCAACACAGCAAGAACCGGAGAGAUACCCAUUGUGCUUACAAAUUGGACUUGGCCAAAGCCUAUGACAGGGUUGAUUGGGAUUUUCUUGAAGGUGCUCUUAUACAACUGGGCUUUGAUCGGAAGUGGAUUAGAUGGGUGAUGAUAUGCGUGAGGUCAGUCACUUUUUCGGUUAAAUGCAAUGGUGCGCUGCUGGAUGCUUUUGUGCCAUCGAGAGGCCUGAGGCAGGGGGAUCCGUUGAGUCCAUACCUCUUCUUAUUUGUGGCUGAUGGAUUGGCUACCUUAUUAAACAGAGAAGUUGAAGAAGGUACUAUCUCCCCACUGAAAAUCGCCCAAGGCAGACCGGGUAUAUCAAAUCUCCUCUUCGCGGAUGACAGCUUGCUUUUCUUCAAAGCUAAUGUAGAUCAAGCAAGGAAAGUGAAGGAGCUCUUAGACCUUUUUUAG